RNAcentral lists this non-coding RNA (219 nucleotides) under uncultured Defluviicoccus sp. The record is from RNAcentral. Lineage: Bacteria; Pseudomonadati; Pseudomonadota; Alphaproteobacteria; Rhodospirillales; Rhodospirillaceae.
AGAGUCGUACUUCGAAGACAUAGCCAGUCACGAUGACCCCGAGUCGGGCGUUGCCAUCCGUGAGGGUGGCGGCGAAGCGUCGACAGGGGCACACGCGGGCAGGGUAUUGAGCCGCGAAAAUUUCCCAUCUGGAGUGCCGACGCUGUGGAGAAAAGCGGAAGGCAACACGGCAGGCGCGUUAUGGCGAGCGGUCUGCCGGCUCCACGUGGUCGUAGACCC